GCAAAAUACUAUAAAAUUAGCAUAUGGAAAAUUUAAUAUCAUCAAGUUCUGGAAGUGAAGUAGAUUUUGAGUCAGAUGAUGAUUAUUUGUAUAACAGCAAUCACAACUUGGAGACAGAGGAGGACAAUAUAGAUAGUGAUGUGUGUGAAGAUAGCUAUAAAUAUUGUUAAAGUAAAGAUGGAAAAACUAAAUGGAAU
Long non-coding RNA from Gordionus sp. m RMFG-2023, 197 nucleotides. RefSeq lists it as uncharacterized. The record is from RefSeq and is a predicted model, not a curated record. The transcript is spliced from 3 exons. NCBI's taxonomy places the organism in Eukaryota, Metazoa, Nematomorpha, Gordioida, Chordodea, Parachordodidae.